AUGAACGCUGGCGGCGUGCCUAAUACAUGCAAUGCAAGUCGAGCGAAUGGAUUAAGAGCUUGCUCUUAUGAAGUUAGCGGCGGACGGGUGAGUAACACGUGGGUAACCUGCCCAUAAGACUGGGAUAACUCCGGGAAACCGGGGCUAAUACCGGAUAACAUUUUGAACCGCAUGGUUCGAAAUUGAAAGGCGGGCUUCGGCUGUCACUUAUGGAUGGACCCGCGUCGCAUUAGCUAGUUGGUGAGGUAACGGCUCACCAAGGCAACGAUGCGUAGCCGACCUGAGAGGGUGAUCGGCCACACUGGGACUGAGACACGGCCCAGACUCCUACGGGAGGCAGCAGUAGGGAAUCUUCCGCAAUGGACGAAAGUCUGACGGAGCAACGCCGCGUGAGUGAUGAAGGCUUUCGGGUCGUAAAACUCUGUUGUUAGGGAAGAACAAGUGCUAGUUGAAUAAGCUGGCACCUUGACGGUACCUAACCAGAAAGCCACGGCUAACUACGUGCCAGCAGCCGCGGUAAU
This 521-nucleotide ribosomal RNA is filed under the name bacterium PNCr-1. Its description in RNAcentral is "bacterial SSU rRNA". It matches the Rfam family "Bacterial small subunit ribosomal RNA", at positions 29 to 524 of the family's 1533-position model. The record is from RNAcentral.